UGAGUAACACGUAGGUAAUGUGCCUUUGGGUGGGGAAUAACUUAGGGAAACUUAAGCUAAUACCGCAUAAUGCAGCGGCUCCUUCGGGAGACAGUUGUUAAAGAUUUAUCGCCUAAAGAGCAGCCUGCGGCAGAUUAGCUAGUUGGUAAGGUAACGGCUUACCAAGGCGACGAUCUGUAUCCGACCUGAGAGGGUGGUCGGACACACUGACACUGAAUAACGGGUCAG
RNAcentral lists this ribosomal RNA (228 nucleotides) under uncultured bacterium. RNAcentral describes it as "partial 16S ribosomal RNA". It matches the Rfam family "Bacterial small subunit ribosomal RNA", at positions 107 to 334 of the family's 1533-position model. The record is from RNAcentral.